This 465-nucleotide ribosomal RNA is filed under the name Vreelandella stevensii. RNAcentral describes it as "partial 16S ribosomal RNA". It matches the Rfam family "Bacterial small subunit ribosomal RNA", at positions 338 to 795 of the family's 1533-position model. The record is from RNAcentral. Lineage: Bacteria; Pseudomonadati; Pseudomonadota; Gammaproteobacteria; Oceanospirillales; Halomonadaceae.
CCUACGGGUGGCUGCAGUGGGGAAUAUUGGACAAUGGGGGCAACCCUGAUCCAGCCAUGCCGCGUGUGUGAAGAAGGCCCUCGGGUUGUAAAGCACUUUCAGUGAGGAAGAACGCCUGGUGGUUAAUACCCAUCAGGAAAGACAUCACUCACAGAAGAAGCACCGGCUAACUCCGUGCCAGCAGCCGCGGUAAUACGGAGGGUGCGAGCGUUAAUCGGAAUUACUGGGCGUAAAGCGCGCGUAGGUGGCUUGAUAAGCCGGUUGUGAAAGCCCCGGGCUCAACCUGGGAACGGCAUCCGGAACUGUCAAGCUAGAGUGCAGGAGAGGAAGGUAGAAUUCCCGGUGUAGCGGUGAAAUGCGUAGAGAUCGGGAGGAAUACCAGUGGCGAAGGCGGCCUUCUGGACUGACACUGACACUGAGGUGCGAAAGCGUGGGUAGCAAACAGGAUUAGAUGCCCGAGUAGUC